RNAcentral lists this ribosomal RNA (502 nucleotides) under uncultured bacterium. RNAcentral describes it as "partial 16S ribosomal RNA". It matches the Rfam family "Bacterial small subunit ribosomal RNA", at positions 29 to 523 of the family's 1533-position model. The record is from RNAcentral.
AACGAACGCUGGCGGCGUGUUUAAGACAUGCAAGUCGCACGGGAUAAGACAUGUAGUAAUACUUGUUUUAUUUAGUGGCGCACGGGUGAGUAACACGUGAAUUACAUGCCCUAUAGUGGGGAAUAGCCCAGGGAAACUUGGAUUAAUACCCCAUGGUAUCGAAAGAUUAAAUGUGGCCGCAAGGCUGUCGCUAUAGGAUUGGUUCGCGCCCUAUCAGCUUGUUGGUGAGGUAACGGCUCACCAAGGCAAUGACGGGUACCUGGUCUGAGAGGACGAUCAGGCACACUGGAACUGAGACACGGUCCAGACACCUACGGGUGGCAGCAGUCGAGAAUAAUUCACAAUGGGGGCAACCCUGAUGUGCAACGCCGCGUGGAGGAUGACGGUCUUCGGAUUGUAAACUCCUGUCAUCUGGGAGAAAGACCUGACGGUAAAUAGCCGGCAGGGUUGAUAGUACCAGAAGAGGAAGGGACGGCUAACUUCGUGCCAGCCGCCGCGGUAA